This 531-nucleotide ribosomal RNA is filed under the name uncultured bacterium. Its description in RNAcentral is "bacterial SSU rRNA". It matches the Rfam family "Bacterial small subunit ribosomal RNA", at positions 777 to 1308 of the family's 1533-position model. The record is from RNAcentral.
AAUAGAUACCCAGGUAGUCCACGCCGUAAACGAUGUCGACUUGGAGGUUGUUCCCUUGAGGAGUGGCUUCCGGAGCUAACGCGUUAAGUCGACCGCCCGGGGAGUACGGCCGCAAGGUUAAAACUCAAAUGAAUUGACGGGGGCCCGCACAAGCGGUGGAGCAUGUGGUUUAAUUCGAUGCAACGCGAAGAAUCUUACCUACUCUUGACAUCCAGAGAACUUAGCAGAGAUGCUUUGGUGCCUUCGGGAACUCUGAGACAGGUGCUGCAUGGCUGUCGUCAGCUCGUGUUGUGAAAUGUUGGGUUAAGUCCCGCAACGAGCGCAACCCUUAUCCUUUGUUGCCAGCGGUCCGGCCGGGAACUCAAAGGAGACUGCCAGUGAUAAACUGGAGGAAGGUGGGGAUGACGUCAAGUCAUCAUGGCCCUUACGAGUAGGGCUACACACGUGCUACAAUGGCGUAUACAAAGAGAAGCGACCUCGCGAGAGCAAGCGGACCUCAUAAAGUACGUCGUAGUCCGGAUUGGAGUCUGC